GCCGGGCAGUGUGGCGCAUGCCUGUAAUCCGAGUGACUCAGGAGGCUGAGGCAGGAGGAUCACAAGUUUAAAGCCAGCCUCAGCAAUGGUGAAGCUCUGAGCAGCUCAGUGAGACCCUGACUCUA
Molecule: small RNA, 125 nt
Filed under: Marmota monax (woodchuck)
Lineage: Eukaryota; Metazoa; Chordata; Mammalia; Rodentia; Sciuridae
Source: RNAcentral